Molecule: long non-coding RNA, 1239 nt
Organism: Gasterosteus aculeatus aculeatus (three-spined stickleback)
Lineage: Eukaryota; Metazoa; Chordata; Actinopteri; Perciformes; Gasterosteidae
Source: Ensembl
UGGAACAAGAAGGAAGUUGCAUCACAGAAUCCGAGCCGGUCUUCUCAAAGCCCCACAAGAGAUUUCCAAAAGAUCUUAAUUGUUAUCCAUUUGAGUUAUUAAAGCAACAAAAUAGAAGCCGCUUGUGGCAUUUGAUGCAACUGUUGUUUAAGGGUUUUCAGACCUACCUACCUAUAUUCCACCAUGGAACUUCGGUCUGAUCAACGCCUCAAAAAGGCAAAGGGCCAUCGCAUUUCUGCAGAGCUCCAACAUGCAGAGCCCCUACCAGUACAAAUUGCAUAUGGAUCAAGUCCCAGUAAAAUGCACGGCAGUGCUGCUCCCUGUGAUGAAAGAAGGUUUCAAGAGGCAGGUACUACAGCGAAGCCACCAAUGAAGUGCUUCUACUCUUCACAUACCCUCACUGAGGAGGUCCCACUGCCUCCCAGCCCUCCACCUGGCGUGAUGGACAUGGGAGACACUCUUGAGAUCAACGUAAAAAGAUUCAGAUUUUCUUCUCCGGAUGGACUCACACUUCCCCGAAGUUACCCACACGCUGCCGAUGAGUUGGGCACGGGAGACACUCCCGAGAAAACGAACUCCGGAGAAAAACAAGACUUGAAGGAGGCUGGGUGUCCGUCUCCGCUCUCCCCGCCUCUCAGCAGGAAGGCUCGUGAGAUGGCCCGGCCUCCAAGUCCUCCCGUGCCGCACGUGGGACCCAUUCGCGGAGAGAAGAGGUACCGAGACUUAGGAAACAUCGUCUUCCCUUGUCUAGAUGAUGACAGUGAUCCUAAGCCUCCCAACCUGUUGCAUCAGGAGGUUCCUCUAUGUCCAAGUCCUCCUCCACCCGUGCUUUACAUGGGACACACUCACCAAAAAAGAUACCCGGAUUUGAGAAACAUCGUCUUCCCUUGUCUAGAUGAUGACAGUGAUCCUAAGCCUCCCAACCCGUUGCAUCAGGAGGUUCCUCUAUGGCCAAGUCCUCCUCCACCUGUGCUUUACAUGGGACACACUCACCAGAAAAGGUACCCGGAUUUGAGAAACAUCGUCUUCCCUUGUCUAGAUGUCCAGGGGCCUGAUUCGGUGCCCCCCGGCUGGCUGUGUGGGAGCCAUAUUGGACCACACCAAGAGAAGAUAUAGAUUUAUCUACUGUUACUUUUCCUUGUCUGGACGCAGACAUAUGAGUCACACAACAUAAAAUCCUAAAAUGUUCAAAUUAAUAAAUACUAAAUAAAAAAUAAAAUUAAAAGUGAUGAAAAUAAA